UGUGUGUGUGUGUGUGUGUCUGUUUUUUCUUUCUUCAUUAGUCACUACUUUGCUAUAUUCCUAUUGUACAUGGAUUGCAACCUCUCUUUGGUGCUUUUUAAGGUUCUUUUUUUUUUUAUUUAUUCAAAUUCAAAUUUGCUGUAUUGUUAUAGUCUGUUGAAGCAGUUGUAUGGACUUUCUGCUUUACCACUUGCUAAACCUAGAGAUUCAUAUUCACUUUUAGUUGUGUGCUUGACAUAUUGUCUGGUAGUUGAGAAUAACUGUUCAUUUGAAUACCAGAAGUGAAGAGAUCCUUGUACCUGAUUAAUUUUGUAGAACAUUAAAUGUUAUCGUCUUUUCUUUAUUAUUUUUUAUUUUUAUGUGGAGGCUGGUUUGGUUUUAACUGUUGUUAACCAGAUAGAGAUCUUUUGCUUUUGCCUUUGCCCUUUCUCAGGUUACCCCUCGUCUGGAAGAGC
Molecule: unclassified non-coding RNA, 455 nt
Filed under: Hevea brasiliensis (rubber tree)
Lineage: Eukaryota; Viridiplantae; Streptophyta; Magnoliopsida; Malpighiales; Euphorbiaceae
Source: RNAcentral